This 324-nucleotide ribosomal RNA is filed under the name uncultured eukaryote. RNAcentral's name for it is "partial 18S ribosomal RNA". It matches the Rfam family "Eukaryotic small subunit ribosomal RNA", at positions 1470 to 1796 of the family's 1831-position model. The record is from RNAcentral.
CCCUUAGAUGUUCUGGGCUGCACGCGCGCUACACUGAAGCUAUCAACACGUAUUCCCUCCCUGAGAAGGGCGGGUAACCUUUUGAAUCAGCUUCGUGGUAGGGAUCGGGGCUUGCAAUUGUUCCCCGUGAACCAGGAAUUCCUAGUAGACGCGAGUCAUAAGCUCGCAUCGAUUAAGUCCCUGCCCUUUGUACACACCGCCCGUCGCUACUACCGAUUGAACGUUUUAGUGAGGCAUUUGGACCGACGCAUCUCAGUUUAACCGCUGGUUUGUGUUGGAAAGACUUCCAAACUUGAGCGUUUAGAGGAAGUAAAAGUCGUAACA